Molecule: ribosomal RNA, 253 nt
Filed under: uncultured bacterium
Lineage: Bacteria
Description: partial 16S ribosomal RNA
Rfam family: Bacterial small subunit ribosomal RNA
Source: RNAcentral
UACGUAGGUGGCAAGCGUUGUCCGGAUUUACUGGGCGUAAAGAGCGCGCAGGCGGUCGUUCAAGUCGCGUGUGAAAGCCCCCGGCUCAACUGGGGAGGGUCACGCGAUACUGAUCGACUCGAAGGCAGGAGAGGGAAGUGGAAUUCCCGGUGUAGUGGUGAAAUGCGUAGAUAUCGGGAGGAGCACCAGUGGCGAAGGCGACUUCCUGGCCUGUUCUUGACGCUGAGGCGCGAAAGCCAGGGGAGCGAACGGG